GGGGUAUUAGUAUAAUGGUAAUGCAUGUGACUUUUAAUCAUUAAAAAACGGGUUCGAAUCUCGUAUACCCUA
This 72-nucleotide transfer RNA is filed under the name Xylaria hypoxylon. It matches the Rfam family "tRNA". Rfam says of the family: Transfer RNA (tRNA) molecules are approximately 80 nucleotides in length. Their secondary structure includes four short double-helical elements and three loops (D, anti-codon, and T loops). The record is from Rfam by way of RNAcentral. Lineage: Eukaryota; Fungi; Ascomycota; Sordariomycetes; Xylariales; Xylariaceae.